This is a non-coding RNA of Ciona intestinalis (vase tunicate), 511 nucleotides long. Lineage: Eukaryota; Metazoa; Chordata; Ascidiacea; Phlebobranchia; Cionidae. The record is from RefSeq and is a predicted model, not a curated record.
ACGGAAACUACCGCACUGAAAUAAGAAAAACUUGGCGGGAAGUUAUGAAACGUGUUAAAAAUAGCUUGAGAUCAGAAGAGGAUAAGUUUUCCCAUUGCAGGAAACGGGAGAUUUGUCUUUCUCUUUAUUAAAAAUAUGUCAAUCUUUAAGCAGUAAAACCAAUGCUUAUAAAAGGAGUCGUUUUUAUUUUCGGACUCAUUAUUCUUUUACAGGAAACAAAAUGAAUAAAUCAGCGAUUCUACUCUUGUUCGUCAUCGGUAUCCUCGUGCUCAAUGAAUCUGUAGAUGCUUUGCAUCAAUGGCGUCGCAUUCCUACCAGUGGUACUCUCAAUCGACUAACUCCUGCUCGCCGUCGUUGGGGAGGUUGGAACCAAAUGGAAAACAUGAACGUUGAAGACAACGGAUUGACGGAUUGGAUGAUUGGAGCAUGAGGAAGAGAAAAUGAUGUAAUCCAGCUCAAUAGAAACCACGUGAUAAAUAAUUGGAGAUUAAAUAAAUUACAAGAUAAAUGA